UUUCAUUGGGGAAUUUUAUAAACAGUUGAAGUGAAACCAAUACACCACUGUAAGCAAACCAGCUUGUCUCUUCACAAGCAGUAACUGAAGAGCCAAAGUAUUCCUCUCAUGGAUCGACCACCACACAAUACAGUGACUCUUGAUUUCCUGUAGUUGCCGAGUCAAACACCAUCACCGAACAUCUCCACUAUUCUUAAUUAAUUUCUGAAAAAAUAAUGUCCCGAUACAGGUAGAUCUUUACCUGACCACUUGGGCCGUCUUCACCUAAGCACUUGCACUUCUUGAAAUUCAUGCACACAA
Molecule: long non-coding RNA, 300 nt
Filed under: Manihot esculenta (cassava)
Lineage: Eukaryota; Viridiplantae; Streptophyta; Magnoliopsida; Malpighiales; Euphorbiaceae
Description: long non-coding RNA (MESC_LNC001340)
Source: RNAcentral